GCGGGUGUGGCGGAACUGGUAGACGCACCGGAUUUAGGUUCCGGCGCCUUUGGCGUGGGGGUUCAAAUCCCUUCACCCGCACCA
RNAcentral lists this transfer RNA (84 nucleotides) under Rhodobacterales bacterium. Its description in RNAcentral is "tRNA-Leu". It matches the Rfam family "tRNA". Rfam says of the family: Transfer RNA (tRNA) molecules are approximately 80 nucleotides in length. Their secondary structure includes four short double-helical elements and three loops (D, anti-codon, and T loops). The record is from RNAcentral. Lineage: Bacteria; Pseudomonadati; Pseudomonadota; Alphaproteobacteria; Rhodobacterales.